RNAcentral lists this ribosomal RNA (481 nucleotides) under uncultured bacterium. Its description in RNAcentral is "bacterial SSU rRNA". It matches the Rfam family "Bacterial small subunit ribosomal RNA", at positions 40 to 507 of the family's 1533-position model. The record is from RNAcentral.
CGGCGUGCUUAACACAUGCAAGUCGAACGAGGGAAUUCUUUCGGAGAAUAUACCGAGUGGCAAACGGGUGAGUAACGCGUAGGCAACCUGCCUUCAAGAGGGGGAUAACACUUGGAAACAGGUGCUAAUACCGCAUAACCAUGAACACCGCAUGAUGUUCAUGUAAAAGACGGCUUUCGCUGUCACUUUUGGAUGGGCCUGCGGCGUAUUAACUUGUUGGUGGGUAACGGCCUACCAAGGUGAUGAUACGUAGCCGAACUGAGAGGUUGAUCGGCCACAUUGGGACUGAGACACGGCCCAAACUCCUACGGGAGGCAGCAGUAGGGAAUCUUCCACAAUGGACGAAAGUCUGAUGGAGCAACGCCGCGUGAAUGAAGAAGGCCUUCGGGUCGUAAAAUUCUGUUGUCAGAGAAGAACGUGCGUGAGAGUAACUGUUCACGUAUUGACGGUAUCUGACCAGAAAGCCACGGCUAACUACGUG